GACGGAGGAUGCAAGCGUUAUCCGGAAUUAUUGGGCGUAAAGCGUCCGCAGGUGGCUGUUCAAGUCUGCUGUCAAAGCGCAGAGCUUAACUCUGUACAGGCGGUGGAAACUGAAGAGCUAGAGUAUGGUAGGGGUAGAGGGAAUUCCCGGUGUAGCGGUGAAAUGCGUAGAUAUCGGGAAGAACACCAGUGGCGAAAGCGCUCUACUGGGCCAUAACUGACGCUGAGGGACGAAAGCUAGGGGAGCGAAAGGG
RNAcentral lists this ribosomal RNA (253 nucleotides) under uncultured bacterium. RNAcentral describes it as "partial 16S ribosomal RNA". It matches the Rfam family "Bacterial small subunit ribosomal RNA", at positions 524 to 776 of the family's 1533-position model. The record is from RNAcentral.